GAGGGUGUUGGUCUGCGUGCCGGUGCUGGGGAAUUGGUCAGCCACAUGGGGACAGAUGCUGAGCCCUUGGUGAUGGAUGCAGGUCUGGGCUGGGAGAAAUGUGGCAGACAGAAAGCCCUCACUCAGCAGGGGGGAAUUGCAGAGCUGCUCCUAUCUUCGGUCAGGCUGUAUUGAUCCAGACUGUUCAAUACCAGAUGUCUGCCCCCAGGGACGUGUCUGUCCCCACAGCUGCUGUCCCAGUAGUCUUCUGGGCCCUGAUUUAAAGAGGACAAGUGUUCUUUUCAGGAAAAAAAAAUGCAGCAGGUUUAUAUCCUUGCUUUUUGCCUCCCUCUCUGACACAGGAUUUCCCAGUAUCUCUAACUAUGCGAAACACGUCCCUUCUUCAGAUAAAAAAAAAAAAGGCAAUUUUCCACUCGGGCAGCAGGAAGCAAAGUGCAGAUUACAACAGCUGAUGGUGUUUUGGAGGAAUGCUAGUAUCCCUCUACCCAUAUGACAAGGUCAUUAUUGGUGUCUGAUGAGGGUGGGCAGUUGGAUGCCCGCAGGCAUCGGGCAUGUUGGCAAGCUUGGGCAUCAGCCACAGGGCACCAGAGGAGCUGGGGACAUUGCACAGAGCAGUGGUUAAGAAAGUCCAGGGUUGGGUAUAGGGGCCAGGGAGGCAGCCGAGCAAAAAGAAAUGCUCCAUGACUCCAUCUCUGCCUUGUUUGGCCUUCUAAGGUAGCUCUAGUACAGCAGUAGAGAGUCCCAAAACAACCAUGCUGAUCACUCAAAGUAUAUUAAGUGUGCCCAAGUUUAUAAAUAUAUGGAUGGUGUUCACUUUUUCACUGUAUGCAGCAGCAUAAGCCCCUCAGGAUACACAAGAGCUAGCUUUAACCUCAUUAGCCCAAUCCCUGACGGUGUUAGCGAAGACUAAUUUACUUCCCUGAGAACCCGUGGCCUGUCUCUGAGUUCAAUAUGGUGCAAGAUGGAAUAUGAGCCGCGAUGAUGCGUCUUCCUUUAUGGUUUGGCUAAACACAUUCCAGCUGAUGAAAGCACAGUCAUGGCUUUAAAUGACUUUUAAACAUCAGCAGCAAACCAGUCUUCAACAAUGGAAAGUCCAGCGUGGGGGCCUGAUAUCGCUGCGGCAUUUCUCAAGCCUUCUGUCUUCCACAAGUCUCUUCUGCUUCCUUCCUGGGCACUGCAGAGCCUUUGACAAUAUUGAUUGAGUAAAUUGCUGGAGCAGAACAAUGUGUGCUCCCUUUCCCAACCAGAAACACCUCUGCUCACUGUUGAUAAAUUACAUGUAAAUUACCUGCCAUUUCCUAGGUGCUAACACUAAAAAGAGGUACAAAAAUCCUCUCCACCACUCUGUGAAUAUCAAUGAGAUUCUUUGUUUUCACGAGCUUUAAACAAUGAUGUUUGAUGAAGGCUCGUUUGAGAGGGAGGCUGUGUUCCAGAGAUACCUUCAAAGUUACACAAAUACAGCGAGGGCAGCCUAACACACUCAUUGUCCCUCUCCUAUUAUUUCUCUUGCUGUAUUUAUGUGAAUUGGGCACCAGUGGUGGUGAGGAGCAGUUUUGUUGGCUCGCAGUACAACGCAAAGCUCUUGUCAGUACUAAUCCCUGUGCUCUACCUGGGCCAGUGCUUUGGCAAAUGCCUUCCUCUGCAUUCAUUUAUUCGCUCUUUCAUCUAUCCAUUCUCCCUCCAUCAGCCUAGCACUGUAGAAUAAAAACAGAGAAGGUGAGGGUAUGUCUAAGAGGUGCUCAGACAUAGUCUCUGAGGGUAUGUCUCUGAGGUGCUCAGCUGUGAUCCAUAGGGAUGUUUUGUAUCCACAGAGGAGAAGUAAUGCCCCUGGCCUGCUGUAUUCAGGGAGCACCCUUCAAGCCCUGAGGUGCAGGAGCAUGACACUGCUCCUUAAGUGAACCACUUGAGACAUUUUGCAAUGCUGUACCUUAAUUUAAAGAACCUAGUGUGUGAUUAAGGUUUAAAUCUUAAACCUACAUUUAUUUAAAAUGGCAUGUACUCUGAUGUUUCUUCUGUGAACUUCUACUGUUGUGGCAAAGCCUUUUCUGCAAGGCGUUUAUUCUGCAGCCCCCAGAUCAAUAUGUUCUGCUCUGAGAGCUCUGCAGAUGCCCGGAGUUGUGCCAGUGCCAGCAUGUGAAUGGAGGAAACAAACAAGAGCACAGCUGCCUUGUACUGAUCAGAGAAAAUUAAGUUAUUCUGUUUGCCCUUUAUCUUCACCUACCUGUAUUAUUAUGGUAAACAAGGAAAGUCUCUCCUGAAGUCAUUCUGUUUGUUGCUGUCCAGAGAGAAAUCAGGCUUAUCUUUUCCUUUUAGUGCUCCAACUGAAUAUAAAAGAGGAAGGAGGAGAAUGUUUUUGUUCUCACCUUGCCUGCAGAGGUGGAAGCAUGGGGCUGAUAGAGUAAGUGAUGUGCCAUGGCUUUAGAGAGGGUCUAAUUCAGAGCCAAGGAUGGCUUCCUAAUCCCCAGUCCUGUUCUUUGACUGCAUGGCCAGCUUUCAGCUGAACUCUGAGUAGAUUUAAAGGCAGCAAAGGCAGCUGGUGGGUGAUCACAGUGGUACCAGCCAUGAAAGAAAGGCAGGUCUGGUACAGGAGGAACAAAACAUAAAGCCAAUAAAUAAUAAAAAAAUCUUUUGCAUGAGAAAGAGAGCUGAGCUGAUCUCACUUAUGGAUGCUGCCAAUUGAAAACCAGAUACAGUCUGAAGCUGUCCGAAUCUGAACGAGACCCUCCAGGAGUGUUGGCAAAGACCCGUUUCAUUAGAAACCUCAUGCCUCAUCUGUCUCAACAAGCUUUUGUGCUGCUCCUUGGCAGGGAUUUCUUUCUUGUCAGCUCACAAAGGACUUAAUGGCAUGGGGAGCAAUCUUCCUCUGUGCUAACUGUGUGCCUUGUGAUCCUGCCAAACGCAAGGCACGGUCGGCAUCCAGGCGUUACUGUGCCAUGAAGACAAACUCACCCUGUUCAGACUGAUGCUCCAUUGUCAUCAGCGGGGGCUCUCCCUGCUGCCUCGGCAUGAAAAACCUUUCAGCAGCCACUGGAGUUGAGCUGCACCAGCCUGCCAGGAGCAGAAGCACAAACGGGGAAGCAGGAAAUGGUUUCUCAGCUGGACGGCCAUGAUUCCGGAGAAACCCGCCUUCUGCUGAGGCAGGAUGGAAACAGCCUUCCCUCCUCCCAGAGAACAGGGAAAGCUUAAAACUUGCUCUUUUUUGCUUUUCUUAUCUAAUAAGAGUUCCUGAGUGUGAUCAGAUUGUUCCUAACUGCUCCCUAAAGCAGCCUGCUAAUGGCAGAGGUCUGUCUCUUUCCCUUGUCCCCCUCCUCUCCCAACUGCACCCACAAGUGAUGGAUUUUGACAUAACAGGAAGGGUUUGCUUUAGGCAAGAGUGUUUUCAGGCCUGAAAGGCUAAAACAGUGUAUUUUUUUCUCCUCAGCAGCACAUAAUGGAGCUAGCUCUUUUCUUGCAGCAUUUAGCCUCAAUUUCCAGGAGAUAAGGCUGCUGGAUGAACACCUAGAGCACUUUGCACCUCCAGCAUGAGACCUGCCUGCCAGAACCUCGCAGCAGGAGCCUGCACCCCUGGAGGGGCUCAUGUCGUCACCCAGAAGCAAUAUCCCACCAGCUGCCCUAGGAGGUACAGCCUGGAAAAGAAGGUGGCACUGAAGGAACAUGCUAAAUUGCAGCCUGCAAUGGAGAUAUUUUCCUCUUGGUUUCGCAAAGAGAAAAUGGGCUCUUCUCACCCCUCUCUGCUCCCCUAAACAGAGCUGCUUUGUUCUCCUUAUUUAAUCAGUGGAUUUUCAGUGAAGUCAAAUCACCCAAUGGAAACAUAUUUCACAAAACACAUUUCCCCACUGACUAGGUUUGGCUUGCUCACCAGGGAUAGGUGUCUAAAAUAAUCAGGAUAAACAAGGAUAUCAAAAGUUAGAUACCACGGAUGAGGUCAUCCCAAGACCUUUGGGCAGAAAUGGGAGCAGCUCUCUCCUGUCCUUGUUAAUGGUCUGUGCUCAAAGGUUACAAGGAUAUUUUUUUUGUUUACCUCUGCUGGCGUCAUAAUUUUGAGUGAUAUUUCUGCACUUCUGAAAACUGUUAAUUAGCUCCCUUCAGAGCUUUGCUCAUCACACAUGGUUUUUCCCAUUUUAGCACACUGAUUAUUAUUUCAGGCUGGAGUAAUGAGCAGGGGGAAGAAGAUGUCAUUUUAAUAUAGGUUAAGUAUUACAAUGUCAAUAGUUUUUUUAUGUAAUUACAGAAUAUAAAGAGGACAAAUGGCUAAUUGCAGAAUGUUAGGAGGACAAAUGAGUUGAAAUAGCUGAAGUUUCUGAUGACCUAUGUGAACCUUGUUUUUUUAAUAGAAAGUUACUUUCCUGAGGAAGCUUUUGGUGCAAAGUUCUCCUGGGACUGUUGGGCCAGUGGGCAGAGCCAACAAAAUCAUGGAUUUGGCCACUUGAUAUCUUUUUGAUCUCCUUGCAGUUAAUGGAGGAAUUAAGCCUUGGUGAGCAAAAAAACAGAGCCUGGGGUGGGUGGUGGAGGAUGCAGAUCUUGCUGACAAUGCUGAAGAGAAAACAAUAGAUGUGAUCAAAGGAAAACUGGAGGAAAGGCUCAGUGCAAACAUGGAUCCCUGUUCUGAAGACUUUAUGCAUCACCAGAAAACCUGCAAGUGACUGACCCAGAUUUCUGACAUCACAAAACUCCAGGGGCAUGGAUAUAGAUCUGUGCUUAGUGAGAUCACGUAAACAAAAGGAGAGGAAGAAAAACACAGGGGAGUUUCUUCCCCAGCAAGUGUUUUUUUUUUUUUUUUUUUUUUUUUUUUUUUUUUUUUCCUCUUAAAGCAAUUGAAGUUUUGCUAGAGAUAAUUGUAUUUUCAGGAAAAUGUUUAAUGAACUGGAUAAACAACAGGAGAAAUGCAAAGCCAAUAAAUGUCCAGCUGUGAUAAAACCCAGGACUUGUAUGAGGUGAUGUCCUCCUGCCCCCAGGAGGCUGGGGGCUUUUGCCUGGAGCUGAUGGGGUGGGUGCUGAGAUGUGGGUCUGGUCCUGUCCCUGCUGGGGUGGAUUAGAUGCUAGGCCACCAGGCACGUGUGUUCAGAGCUGCUUCAUAUCCACUUCUCAGGAAGCCAGGCUAGUUUGGUGCAGCAAUGGGGAGAGGAUAUGGAGAGGAUCCCACAGAAAGAGGAUGGCUCAGUGCAGGCUCCCUUGUGCCUUUGGUUCAGAAAAGCUUCAGAAGUGAUUGAUGGGUGAGUGUCACACUUGAACUCACCUUCUGAGCCCUCUCUGUGCAAGAUGCAGCUGGAGCUGCACAGACUCGGGUAGCAGGCAAUUUUUUAAUAAUGGAGGGGAAAUGACUUUCCUUAAUGGAGCAUGGUAAGAAGUUCUCUUGUGAUUCUCUUCUCCAUCUGCAUGCUUUCAUAAUGGAGCAGCAAAGUCUCUUGCAGCUCGGGGUCAGCUCGUGCUGAACAAAACGCCUUGGGAUGCCCACGAGCUCAGCUGGGAAGCCACGGGGACAGGCGGGAGAGGCAUGACUGAUGUAUGGGCAGAUGCAGUGGGAUUCCAUGGGACUUUGCCUCAGGAUCUUCCAGCCCAAGGGAUGUUUCUUGUCCUUUAGGCAUCAUGGAGGGGUUUUGUUCCCCAGCACGCUCAAAGAUGGGGGAGAAACUAAUUAUUGUCUGAUGUGUGAUGGAUGGACGAGAUUGGUUGGGUCCUUCCCAUGCUGCUCAGCUCAGUUUUAUUUUCCUUUCAGCUCUGCAAGUGCCUGGCCCAGCUGGUGCUUUGUCAUAUGGGGGCACCCUCACAGCAGCAGCCUGUUCCUGGCAGUGCUGAUGCUCCUUCCCCUCAGUUCAAGCUGUUGUCUGACAGAAUUACACAGCACAGCUCCUGACACCGUUAAGUGUCUGCAGAGCGGGGUGGUAACAGCCUGGCUGCUCAGUGCUGCUCAUUCCUGGGGAGAAGACCCGGGCUGCCAGCCCCAGCCUGAUGCAGGCUUCCAAGACAGACCCUAAGCUACAGGAGAUGGGCUCUUCUUGGAGAAAACAGGUGGUUUUGGGGCUGCUCCUGGCUGUGACCUGGAUGAGGCAUCCAGCCCUGUGUAGCUUGAUGCAAUUAAAUUGUCACCUCCUUGCUUGAGUGCAUGGCCACUGAGGGAUGGGCGCAGUCGUAUAUUCUCUAUUCUCCCUGCUAGUCUCUUGCACAAAACAUUAAAUUUCAAGCUCCAGGUUUAAUAACUGAUCCAGAAGCUUCAGAAGCUAAACAGUCAGGCUAUCUGUUGCUGGGGCAGUCCUGGCACUCUGAACUUCGGAUUCAUUACACUCAACAGACAAGCUUAACUUCGAGCCAUCAGUUCAGCUUGGAGAUGAGAAACUGCUCAGAAUCAGUAUUCUGCAUGUAGUGGGUGUUACCUUUCCACAGAUGCAGUAACAAAUACACAGCCUGAUUAAUAGGAUUAGGAGCUGCCUUGUCAAUGACAGCAGGAACAAGCCGCCCGAUAAGCCCUGGGUAGGAGCUGCCUGAAAUCCAAGCCUGGGCUGAGGCUUGCAAAGGAGGGGUUAUUUAAAGAGGUGACAGUGAGGGUAAGGGGCUGUUUAAAGGAAAAAAAAAAAAAAAAAAGAAAGGAAAAAAAAAAAAAG
This is a non-coding RNA of Anas platyrhynchos (mallard), 6599 nucleotides long. NCBI's taxonomy places the organism in Eukaryota, Metazoa, Chordata, Aves, Anseriformes, Anatidae. The record is from RefSeq and is a predicted model, not a curated record.